GAGUAACACGUGGGUAACCUGCCCAGAAGUAGGGGAUAACACCUGGAAACAGAUGCUAAUACCGUAUAACAGAGAAAACCGCAUGGUUUUCUUUUAAAAGAUGGCUCUGCUAUCACUUCUGGAUGGACCCGCGGCGUAUUAGCUAGUUGGUGAGGUAAAGGCUCACCAAGGCAGUGAUACGUAGCCGACCUGAGAGGGUAAUCGGCCACAUUGGGACUGAGACACGGCCCAGACUCCUACGGGAGGCAGCAGUAGGGAAUCUUCCACAAUGGACGCAAGUCUGAUGGAGCAACGCCGCGUGAGUGAAGAAGGGUUUCGGCUCGUAAAGCUCUGUUGUUAAAGAAGAACGUGGGUAAGAGUAACUGUUUACCCAGUGACGGUAUUUAACCAGAAAGCCACGGCUAACUACGUGCCAGCAGCCGCGGUAAUACGUAGGUGGCAAGCGUUAUCCGGAUUUAUUGGGCGUAAAGCGAGCGCAGGCGGUCUUUUAAGUCUAAUGUGAAAGCCUUCGGCUCAACCGAAGAAGUGCAUUGGAAACUGGGAGACUUGAGUGCAGAAGAGGACAGUGGAACUCCAUGUGUAGCGGUGAAAUGCGUAGAUAUAUGGAAGAACACCAGUGGCGGAAGGCGGCUGUCUGGUCUGCAACUGACGCUGAGGCUCGAAAGCAUGGGUGCGAACAGGAUUAGAUACCCUGGUAGUCCAUGCCGUAAACGAUGGAUUACUAGGUGUUGGAGGGGUUCCCGCCCUUCAGUGCUGCACCUAA
This 763-nucleotide ribosomal RNA is filed under the name Pediococcus pentosaceus. RNAcentral describes it as "bacterial SSU rRNA". It matches the Rfam family "Bacterial small subunit ribosomal RNA", at positions 108 to 855 of the family's 1533-position model. The record is from RNAcentral. Lineage: Bacteria; Bacillati; Bacillota; Bacilli; Lactobacillales; Lactobacillaceae.